UGGCGGCAUGCCUUACACAUGCAAGUCGAACGGCAGCACGGGAGCAAUCCUGGUGGCGAGUGGCGAACGGGUGAGUAAUACAUCGGAACGUGCCCAGUAGUGGGGGAUAGCCCGGCGAAAGCCGGAUUAAUACCGCAUACGACCUACGGGUGAAAGCGGGGGAUCGCAAGACCUCGCGCUAUUGGAGCGGCCGAUGUCAGAUUAGCUAGUUGGUGGGGUAAAGGCCUACCAAGGCGACGAUCUGUAGCUGGUCUGAGAGGACGACCAGCCACACUGGGACUGAGACACGGCCCAGACUCCUACGGGAGGCAGCAGUGGGGAAUUUUGGACAAUGGGCGCAAGCCUGAUCCAGCCAUGCCGCGUGCGGGAAGAAGGCCUUCGGGUUGUAAACCGCUUUUGUCAGGGAAGAAACGGUCUGCAUUAAUACUGCGGACUAAUGACGGUACCUGAAGAAUAAGCACCGGCUAACUACGUGCCAGCAGCCGCUGUAAUACGUAGGGUGCGAGCGUUAAUCGGAAUUACUGGGCGUAAAGCGUGCGCAGGCGGCUUUGCAAGACAGAUGUGAAGUCCCCGGGCUCAACCUGGGAACUGCAUUUGUGACUGCAUGGCUAGAGUGCGGCAGAGGGGGAUGGUAUUCCGCGUGUAGCAGUGAAAUGCGUAGAUAUGCGGAGGAACACCGAUGGCGAAGGCAAUCCCCUGGGCCUGCA
This 707-nucleotide ribosomal RNA is filed under the name uncultured soil bacterium. RNAcentral's name for it is "bacterial SSU rRNA". It matches the Rfam family "Bacterial small subunit ribosomal RNA", at positions 37 to 739 of the family's 1533-position model. The record is from RNAcentral.